This 497-nucleotide ribosomal RNA is filed under the name uncultured bacterium. RNAcentral's name for it is "partial 16S ribosomal RNA". It matches the Rfam family "Bacterial small subunit ribosomal RNA", at positions 28 to 507 of the family's 1533-position model. The record is from RNAcentral.
GAUGAACGCUGGCGGCGUGCCUAAUACAUGCAAGUCGAGCGGACGGACGAGAAGCUUGCUUCUCUGAUGUUAGCGGCGGACGGGUGUGUAACACGUGGAUAACCUACCUAUAAGACUGGGAUAACUUCGGGAAACCGUAGCUAAUACCGGAUAAUAUUUUGAACCGCAUGGUUCAAAAGUGAAAGACGGUCUUGCUGUCACUUAUAGAUGGAUCCGCGCUGCAUUAGCUAGUUGGUAAGGUAACGGCUUACCAAGGCAACGAUGCAUAGCCGACCUGAGAGAGUGAUCGGCCACACUGGAACUGGGACACGGUCCAGACGCCUACGGGAGGCAGCAGUAGGGAAUCUGCCGCAGUGGGGGAAAGCCUGACGGAGCAACGCCACGUGAGUGAUGAAAGUCUUCGGAUCGUAAAGCUCUGUUAUUGGGGGAGAACAUAUGUGUAAGGAACUGUGCACAUCUUGACGGUACCUAAUCAGAAAGCCACGGCUAACUACGUG